RNAcentral lists this ribosomal RNA (325 nucleotides) under uncultured Bacillota bacterium. RNAcentral's name for it is "bacterial SSU rRNA". It matches the Rfam family "Bacterial small subunit ribosomal RNA", at positions 28 to 351 of the family's 1533-position model. Lineage: Bacteria; Bacillati; Bacillota. The record is from RNAcentral.
GACGAACGCUGGCGGUAUGCUUAACACAUGCAAGUCGAACGAGACGAAGAUGUUUACAUCUUCAGAAAGUGGCGAACGGGUGAGUAACGCGUGGGUAACCUGCCCUAUGGAAAGGAAUAGCCUCGGGAAACUGGGAGUAAUGCCUUAUAAGAUACGUGCGCCGCAUGGCGCGUGUAUGAAACGCUCCGGUGCCAUAGGAUGGACCCGCGUCCCAUUAGCUGGUUGGUGAGAUAACAGCCCACCAAGGCGACGAUGGGUAACCGGUCUGAGAGGGCGAACGGUCACACUGGAACUGAGACACGGUCCAGACUCCUACGGGUGGCAG